UGCUAGUAUUGUUGCGAUUAUAUGUGUGUGAAAGAGGUUGCUAUUUAUAUUUGGGGAAAGUAUUCUUGAAUAACGUUACUGUUUAAUUUAUACGUUCAUAAGAUUAAUUAAGAGAUUAAAAACGAUUUUCUCGAGUAAUUAUUGAAUAAACGUAUCUUUUUCCUAGAUAAUUAAAUUUACUUCGGUAUUAUCUAUGAUACAGUGUAGAAAGUGCCAUUGAAUAAGAAGAAGUUGUUAGCAAAGUUAGGAUUGGAACUUCAUUCAAUUCAUCAACAACAUACUUCUACAUCUUCAAGUUUCUGAAAAAUAAAACUAGUGAAGUCUGAUUAAGUGUAUUCAAAUAAGACUACAAAUUGUAUAAGCCAUGAGCAAUAUUUUAAAUUAGUUAAGUACAAGGAUAAUGAAAAGAAUUGGAACAAGACUUCGAUGGAGGAAAGAAAACCUGUUUCAAAGAUUGUUUUUCAAUGGAAAAAUUAUUGAAGAUUGUCUCACAAAUAGUACCAUUGACGAAGUAUUAGAAUCUCAUAAUCAUGCCAUAUGAUUCAAGAAAGGUAACCUAAAUGUUAUCAAAAAAGGUAUGUGACAAUUUUCUUUUAUACAGUAUCAAUGGAAGACAAGCUUCUUCAAUACUUUUCUUCAAGCGAUUGGGGUAAAUAUAUAAUAGUUGGAGCAGAGCUUUAGAUAAAAGAAUUCUUUAUCUAAGCCUGUUGCAUCGACUGUAAGACUACUUUUCAGAUUUUUACUGAAAAGUAAAUUUUUAUUUAAAGUAUUUUUUACUCACAAUUUUAGUAAGUCUUUAUUUAUUUUAAUGUAUGAUCUGUUUUAUCAGGAACUAUUUAAGUUUAUCUUAAUUUUUCUAUAGUUUAUUUUUAACUUUUUUUAAUAAACUUUAUAUUUUAUAACUUUUUUUAAGUCUCUAAAAUCUUGAAGCAUGAUUGAUGAUAGCAUAAAAUAAAUGCAAGAAUAUUGAAAAAGACAAAAUUAGAAGGAAGAAAGAUUUUAUUUAAACUCGUAGUAUAUGUAGUUCAAUGAAAAUGGAGGAGUAAAUUUAUAAAGUAUAUAUAAGUAACCUGCAUAUUUUAUUGAAUUUAUUAAGUUGUAUGCAACAGUUCUUUAGAAAAUGCAAAAUUAGCGUUAGUGGGAUAAAUUAUUUGUAAAACUUAUCGUACCUUAUCAUUUUCUAUUUCAUACUGCUAUUAUCCUUUGUAUAUUUAGAAUUUGAAAGUGCAUAUAUUUAUUAUUUAUAAUUUCCAAUCGUUUUGAAUAAUACAAAAUGAAAUUGUAAUUAUAAUAAAUUGCUGUGUUUGAACUGUACCUUUUUAGGUAAUUUUUUAUAACAAACUUAAUAUGAUUGAUAAAGUAAAUUGAAAACAUUAUUUAGAAAUAUAUUAUUUUAUUUAUAUAACUCACAUAAUUAGUCUAAUACUAAAUGCAGAUUAAAUAAUUAAUAUAGAAGAAAAAGAGGAAACAUGAAAAUCAGUGAGUUUGGUAGAGAAAUAGAGAAUACUACAUUUAUGUUUACGUUUAUAGGAUGAUUUGGAGAAGCAGAAAUGACGGAAGUACGGAUAAAAGAGUGCAAAGAAGAAAUAGCCUUUGAGAAUAUCAACAAUCCCACACCCAUCCAGAAAUUUUACUAUGGUGAAAGUAUAUUCAUGAUCAAAUGAACAGGAUUUAUUGGAAAAUUCUUGAUCGAGAAAUCAUUGAGAACAGAUCCUGAUACAAAUCACAUUUAUUUUUUAAUACUUCCAAAAAAAGAGGAGAAUGCUUUAACACAGUGAACUGAUUGAAAAUUUACUUGACUUGGCUUUAUUUGAUCAAAAAUGACCGUCUAAUAUAGCCGAAAUUUGUAAAAUGUCGAAACUAAAGGUGCGAACUUCGUUUUUUAUAAACAAUGAUAAAUAUGAAAGAAGAAAAUAGAUGAAUGGAAUUAUAAAUGGAAGAUGAGAAUAGCAGGAGAAUGAGAGAAUAAUAAUGAAGUAAUAAUGAUUAAAAAACAAAUAACCUAAGAAAAGAAUUUACUACGCGGUCUGUGUAGAUGACUAAGUAACUUUCCUCUUGUUUUUAUUCUUUUUAAAUUUUUUAUACUUUUUAAAUGAAUGUAAAGAAUAAGGCUAAAAGUAGAAGAAAAAUAAAAAAAGCGUCUACUUUAUUGAUUAAUGAAAAAAGAAUACAGAUAAAAAGCCAAAAAAAAGAAAAGAGAAGAUAAAGAAGAAAAUUAUUGCCUUUAAAUAUUCUUUCGUUUAAAAUACGAAUAGGAAGCAAAAGAAAAAAGAGGAUUGCUCGUGACUGACGACAAUAAUUCCAUGGAUUCGACUUCGAAUAGUUAUCGAUCGUUGCCAAGUAUUAAAGACAGACAGGCAAAGAGAAAGACAAAGAGAGAACUUAUCUUCGAAAGCUUAUUUUCAAGUCACAACAUGACCUUAACUUCAACUCGUACCAUUCAUUAUACUUCUUUCUUCUUUCCCGAGUAAUGUAUAAUUCUGUUCGCUCAUAAGUUAGAAGUUUAAGACGGAUAAUGUCUCUUUGAAAAUGAUGAUGAUAUAUGAAGUCGAGAAGAUGGGAAAAGUUUUAAUGACACACCAUGCGAAACUUUUCAACGAUGACGACAACGAAGAUGUAGACGAUGUUUUCAUCACGGGUGGCAGUUAGCUAUCUUGAAUUUUAAAUUUUUCAAACGUAUAACUUUCUUUGCUAUAGAACUUCGAAUUUUUCUUUUUUUUCUACUUCUUUAUUUUCUUUUUCUUUUUUUUUAUUGACUAUUUUCUUUUUUUGCCAUUGCAUCGAACACCACGUUUCGUAGCAGUGAAAAAAAAUUGAAACAGUUGAAUUUGUGGAAGCUAUAAUAUAUGGUGUUUCAUGUCGUGUGAUUGUUAUUGUGCUUGGUUCAAAAUUGACGAAGAAAAAGAAUAGAGAAAGGAAAUAUAAAGUUGCUACGAAGAACAAAAAAUUUCUAAACGGAAAUAGUAAUAUGCUAUACUUAUAGUAUAAUUAUAUUUUAAUCCGAUGUACACAAACGAUGUAAUUGCUUAAUGCAAAGAAGAAAUAGCCUUUGAGAAUAUCAACAAUCCCACACCCAUCCAGAAAUUUUACUAUGGUGAAAGUAUAUUCAUGAUCAAAUGAACAGGAUUUAUUGGAAAAUCCUUGAUCGAGAAAUCAUUGAGAACAGAUCCUGAUACAAAUCACAUUUAUCUUUUAAUACUUCCAAAAAAAGAGGAGAAUACUAAGAGAAUCUAUUGAUCAAUAAUCAAAAACUCAUCUUAAGGAUAUCGAUUGCCACAUACAGUUUGGCUGUUUAUUGCAUCAAAUAAUUUAAUAUAAUACAUCUGCCUUUGCUGUACUUCACGUCAGUGGAUUAUUUUCUGCAUGGUCUUGCAAAGUCAAUCGUGUAUUGGAUGAUCCAUAUGGUCAACAAUGUCAUCCGAAAGAUAUAAUUGUUAAACAGGUACCAGACGACUGAUGAUGAAGUGAAAGAAAAUAAUUAAUAAAUAAUAUAUAAAUAGUUAAAUUAAACUUCUUGUUGUGUGUUCGCAUCAAUUUCGUUUUAAACUUAACCAAUCGUUUCUUUCCGAAUUCAUUAUGCUUUUUUAUUCGAUUGUUUAUUAACGUUUGUUAUUAACACGAAACAACAACGUAUCAAUGGAACUUCAAUCGAGUAACGUUUAACAAUAAAUUCGAGAAUGAAAGAUCGUGCAGCAAGACAGUGAUAAAAAUAGAAAAUGUAUUUGAUGGGACCGUAGGGAGUGGAUAAUAAAUACACUGAAAGUUUUUUUUUUAUUUUCAGAACUCUGUAA
Vespula vulgaris is the source of this 3791-nucleotide long non-coding RNA. RefSeq lists it as uncharacterized. NCBI's taxonomy places the organism in Eukaryota, Metazoa, Arthropoda, Insecta, Hymenoptera, Vespidae. The record is from RefSeq and is a predicted model, not a curated record. The transcript has 9 exons.